Molecule: ribosomal RNA, 500 nt
Filed under: uncultured bacterium
Lineage: Bacteria
Description: bacterial SSU rRNA
Rfam family: Bacterial small subunit ribosomal RNA
Source: RNAcentral
AGUGAACGCUGGCGGUAGGCCUAACACAUGCAAGUCGAACGGCAGCACAGGAGAGCUUGCUCUCUGGGUGGCGAGUGGCGGACGGGUGAGGAAUACAUCGGAAUCUACUCUGUCGUGGGGGAUAACGUAGGGAAACUUACGCUAAUACCGCAUACGACCUACGGGUGAAAGUGGGGGACCGCAAGGCCUCACGCGAUUGAAUGAGCCGAUGUCGGAUUAGCUAGUUGGCGGGUAAAGGCCCACCAAGGCGACGAUCCGUAGCUGGUCUGAGAGGAUGAUCAGCCACACUGGAACUGAGACACGGUCCAGACUCCUACGGGAGGCAGCAGUGGGGAAUAUUGGACAAUGGGCACAAGCCUGAUCCAGCCAUACCGCGUGAGUGAAGAAGGCCCUCGGGUUGUAAAGCUCUUUGUUGGGAAAGAAAUCCUGUUGGCUAAUACCCGGCGGGGAUGACGGUACCCAAAGAAUAAGCACCGGCUAAACUUCGUGCCAGCAGCCGC